RNAcentral lists this ribosomal RNA (786 nucleotides) under Limosilactobacillus reuteri. RNAcentral's name for it is "bacterial SSU rRNA". It matches the Rfam family "Bacterial small subunit ribosomal RNA", at positions 67 to 838 of the family's 1533-position model. Lineage: Bacteria; Bacillati; Bacillota; Bacilli; Lactobacillales; Lactobacillaceae. The record is from RNAcentral.
CACCUGAUUGACGAUGGAUUACCAGUGAGUGGCGGACGGGUGAGUAACACGUAGGUAACCUGCCCCGGAGCGGGGGAUAACAUUUGGAAACAGAUGCUAAUACCGCAUAACAACAAAAGCCACAUGGCUUUUGUUUGAAAGAUGGCUUUGGCUAUCACUCUGGGAUGGACCUGCGGUGCAUUAGCUAGUUGGUAAGGUAACGGCUUACCAAGGCGAUGAUGCAUAGCCGAGUUGAGAGACUGAUCGGCCACAAUGGAACUGAGACACGGUCCAUACUCCUACGGGAGGCAGCAGUAGGGAAUCUUCCACAAUGGGCGCAAGCCUGAUGGAGCAACACCGCGUGAGUGAAGAAGGGUUUCGGCUCGUAAAGCUCUGUUGUUGGAGAAGAACGUGCGUGAGAGUAACUGUUCACGCAGUGACGGUAUCCAACCAGAAAGUCACGGCUAACUACGUGCCAGCAGCCGCGGUAAUACGUAGGUGGCAAGCGUUAUCCGGAUUUAUUGGGCGUAAAGCGAGCGCAGGCGGUUGCUUAGGUCUGAUGUGAAAGCCUUCGGCUUAACCGAAGAAGUGCAUCGGAAACCGGGCGACUUGAGUGCAGAAGAGGACAGUGGAACUCCAUGUGUAGCGGUGGAAUGCGUAGAUAUAUGGAAGAACACCAGUGGCGAAGGCGGCUGUCUGGUCUGCAACUGACGCUGAGGCUCGAAAGCAUGGGUAGCGAACAGGAUUAGAUACCCUGGUAGUCCAUGCCGUAAACGAUGAGUGCUAGGUGUUGGAGGGUUUCCGCCC